RNAcentral lists this ribosomal RNA (506 nucleotides) under uncultured bacterium. Its description in RNAcentral is "partial 16S ribosomal RNA". It matches the Rfam family "Bacterial small subunit ribosomal RNA", at positions 28 to 523 of the family's 1533-position model. The record is from RNAcentral.
GAUGAACGCUAGCUACAGGCUUAACACAUGCAAGUCGAGGGGUAACGAGAGGAAAGCUUGCUUUCCUUGUCGACGACCGGCGCACGGGUGAGUAACGCGUAUCCAACCUGCCCCCAACUAGGGAAUAACCUUGCGAAAGUAAGACUAAUACCCUAUAAUUUCCUCAGAUGUCAUCUGACGAGGAAUAAAGAUUUAUCGGUUGUGGAUGGGGAUGCGUCUGAUUAGCUUGUUGGCGGGGUAACGGCCCACCAAGGCAACGAUCAGUAGGGGUUCUGAGAGGAAGGUCCCCCACAUUGGAACUGAGACACGGUCCAAACUCCUACGGGAGGCAGCAGUGAGGAAUAUUGGUCAGUGGGCGGAAGCCUGAACCAGCCAAGUAGCGUGCAGGAUGACGGCCCUAUGGGUUGUAAACUGCUUUUAUACAGGAAUAAAGUUAGCCACGUGUGGUUAUUUGUAGGUACUGUAUGAAUAAGGACCGGCUAAUUCCGUGCCAGCCGCCGCGGUAA